Molecule: ribosomal RNA, 253 nt
Filed under: uncultured bacterium
Lineage: Bacteria
Description: partial 16S ribosomal RNA
Rfam family: Bacterial small subunit ribosomal RNA
Source: RNAcentral
UACGGAGGGGACUAGCGUUGUUCGGAAUUACUGGGCGUAAAGCGCACGUAGGCGGAUUUGUAAGUCAGGGGUGAAAUCCCGGGGCUCAACCUCGGAACUGCCUUUGAUACUGCAAAUCUCGAGUCCGGAAGAGGUGAGUGGAAUUCCUAGUGUAGAGGUGAAAUUCGUAGAUAUUAGGAAGAACACCAGUGGCGAAGGCGGCUCACUGGUCCGGUACUGACGCUGAGGUGCGAAAGCGUGGGGAGCGAACCGG